GGAAAUGGAACUGAACAAGGAGUACAGUGUUGAUGAGUGGCAUGGGCUUCUAUUGACACUACAGGGAAUAACAUAGUCUGUGGUGUUUUUGGAAUCUCAUUAUAAAUGGUAUCUAACUCCUGUCUCUUUAAACAACAUUGUCUAGAGCUGAUACAUGUUUGAGGAAGUGCAGGCAGGUACGUACACUAUUUAACAUCUUUUGGUCCUGUCCUUAGCUGAACACCUACU
Molecule: non-coding RNA, 228 nt
Organism: Pelobates cultripes (western spadefoot toad)
Lineage: Eukaryota; Metazoa; Chordata; Amphibia; Anura; Pelobatidae
Source: the annotation of a GenBank genome assembly